This 574-nucleotide ribosomal RNA is filed under the name Williopsis saturnus. RNAcentral's name for it is "eukaryotic LSU rRNA". It matches the Rfam family "Eukaryotic large subunit ribosomal RNA", at positions 62 to 648 of the family's 3401-position model. Lineage: Eukaryota; Fungi; Ascomycota; Saccharomycetes; Phaffomycetales; Wickerhamomycetaceae. The record is from RNAcentral.
AAACCAACAGGGAUUGCCUCAGUAACGGCGAGUGAAGCGGCAAAAGCUCAAAUUUGAAAUCUGGUACCUUUGGUGCCCGAGUUGUAAUUUGAAGAUAGUUUUCUGGUGCUGGCCCUUGUCUAUGUUCCUUGGAACAGGACGUCACAGAGGGUGAGAAUCCCGUCUGGCGGGGUGUCCAGUGCUUUGUAGAUUUCUAUCGACGAGUCGAGUUGUUUGGGAAUGCAGCUCUAAGUGGGUGGUAAAUUCCAUCUAAAGCUAAAUAUUGGCGAGAGACCGAUAGCGAACAAGUACAGUGAUGGAAAGAUGAAAAGAACUUUGAAAAGAGAGUGAAAAAGUACGUGAAAUUGUUGAAAGGGAAGGGUAUUAGAUCAGACUUGGUGUUUUGUGAUUAUCUUCCCUUCUUGGGUUGUGCACUCGCAUUUCACUGGGCCAGCAUCGGUUCGGGUGGUAAGAUAAUGACAUUGGAACGUGGCACUGCCUUCGGGUGGUGUGUUAUAGCCCUUGUUGAUGUUGCCUAUCUGGACCGAGGACUGCGGCUUUUGCCUAGGAUGCUGGCGUAAUGAUCUAACACCGC